GGGCCCGCACAAGCGGUGGAGCAUGUGGUUUAAUUCGAUGGUACGCGAGGAACCUUACCUAGGCUUAAAUGUAGAUUGACGUAUUGGGAAACCAGUAUUUCUUCGGACAAUUUACAAGGUGCUGCAUGGUUGUCGUCAGCUCGUGCUGUGAAGUGUCGGGUUAAGUCCCAUAACGAGCGCAACCCCUAUCAUUAGUUGCUAACAUUUAGUUGAGGACUCUAGUGAAACUGCCCGCGUAAGCGUGGAGGAAGGUGGGGAUGACGUCAAAUCAUCACGGCCCUUACGUCUAGGGCUACACACGUGCUACAAUGGUGAAUACAGAGGGAAGCCAACUGGUAACAGUGAGCAGAUCCACAAAAUUCAUCUCAGUUCGGAUUGAGGUCUGCAACUCGACCUCAUGAAGCUGGAAUCGCUAGUAAUCGUAUAUC
Molecule: ribosomal RNA, 428 nt
Filed under: uncultured bacterium
Lineage: Bacteria
Description: bacterial SSU rRNA
Rfam family: Bacterial small subunit ribosomal RNA
Source: RNAcentral